This 1547-nucleotide long non-coding RNA is filed under the name Phoenix dactylifera (date palm). RNAcentral's name for it is "long non-coding RNA (PDAC_LNC014410)". The record is from RNAcentral. Lineage: Eukaryota; Viridiplantae; Streptophyta; Magnoliopsida; Arecales; Arecaceae.
AUAAAAUUUUGUUGGGAUUUGUUCUCACUUAAUGUAGCCAUGCGAGUGUCAUUUGGCAACUAAUGAACUAAGAGUGUGCAAAGCCCCAAAUUAUGACAAAUGACAUAUUCAGAUGCCAUCAUAAAUAUCAACCACAUUUGCAAUAAUGCCAUUGUUUGUACUUUUAAGGGCCAAUUUAUCCUAAAUACUAGAAUCAUUUCUUCAAUGCAAUAUUUCUUCUCGUACUAUCAGGUGUUAGGAUAAUCAUUCAGAUGCAGAUAAAACAGGCAUAAAAUAAAUCAAAAGACUUAAGAGAAUUAAGUUCAGAGGGACUGCUUUACCACCCAGUGACAAAGAAUUGACCUUCUGUGAUGUAUGUACAUUUCUUUGGGUUUAAAGCUUUGCAACAUGAAGCUCAAUUUCUUCUGCUCGACUUUCCUAAGUUCAAGGGUUAGAAAAAAAAUAAGCAAUAUAUUUUAUAGAGUUAUUGUGGCAUCUACACUUAUUUCAAAUCCUUGUAGAAAUAACCUGAAGAGAUUUUGCAUUUAUUAUUUUUAAAUGCAAUUAAUUCAAAGUGUAGAUAAUUAGGUUAAAUGCUUUCAGUUGCUGGAUCUUACUGUACAGAAAAUAAAGUGUAUGUGUGGCAAGUUGACUAUGUUUAAACUUGAAGGCCCAAAACUCCUCUAUAUGAAAUAACCUUUUUACCAAUCAUACCCAGCUUUAAGAAAUGAGAUGAAUACCUUUCCUCUAAGAACUCCUCUUAGAGGAAAGGUAUUCAUCUCAUUUCUGAAAAGUAUACAUAGUCUUCUUUAGUUCUUGAGUCCUUUGUCUCCAAUACCUUGUGCAUUUCAAGAAAUAAUCUUUGAUGAUGAAAAAGUGUCAAGAAACCCAGAGCCACUCCCAAUAUCCUGCAUCUAGGACCUUUUCCAAGCUUUUGAGGAGAUUCAUGGUUGCAGCCCAGCCUUUCUUUUCCCUUGUCCUCAGAGAUAGAAGCAAGGUUUGGAAAAUUGACCAUAUUGCGGUACAUACUCCCAUAGUGAAUCAUAUCAGGGGCAUCUUGUACUGUACUGUACCAUGUUAUUUCAGACCUUCAUAACUCCUAUGGUGGCAUACCGUGGUAUCUGUCGUACCUAACGUGACCAAUAUGCCCCUGUAUCGUGCUAGUUCAAACAUUGUAUGGAAGGAACAGAACCCUACCAACCUUUAGACUAAAUUGGCUAAUUCCUCAUUCCAAGAAUAGAUUAAGAGGGGAUUUCACUCUCUUUAAGAUGCUUCUUUAACCUCAACUUUGGUCUUACCAAUAGUGGUGUCUUGUCUGUCUUAAUCGUAGCAUCAACUAAGAAGUCUCUUUUUCUGUCAUUCUGUUAAGAAUUGGAGUGGCUGCGCUGCCUUGUGGAUGCAUCCACAAGGGGAAAGAAGCUAUUGGAAUUCCAUGACCAGCACUGCAUGGAGGCUUCUUGAAUUAGGGAGCAUGUGAGCCUCAAAAUGCUGAUGAUCUACCUGCUCAUAGGAUGAAAAUAUGUGUUUGGCGAUAUGGCAUAUAUAGCAAAUAUCCUAUACAAAUCAAG